AUACGGAGGGUGCAAGCGUUACUCGGAAUCACUGGGCGUAAAGCGCGCGCAGGCGGCUUGAUAAGUUGGAUGUGAAAGCCUACGGCUCAACCGUAGAACUGCAUCCAAAACUGUCAAGAUAGAGUCUGGGAGGGGGAGAUGGAAUUAGUGGUGUAGGGGUAAAAUCCGUAGAUAUCACUAGGAAUACCGAAAGCGAAGGCGAUCUCCUGGAACAAUACUGACGCUAAGGCGUGAAAGCGUGGGGAGCAAACGGGAUUAGAUACCCCUGUAGUCC
Molecule: ribosomal RNA, 274 nt
Filed under: uncultured bacterium
Lineage: Bacteria
Description: partial 16S ribosomal RNA
Rfam family: Bacterial small subunit ribosomal RNA
Source: RNAcentral